Molecule: ribosomal RNA, 406 nt
Filed under: uncultured bacterium
Lineage: Bacteria
Description: partial 16S ribosomal RNA
Rfam family: Bacterial small subunit ribosomal RNA
Source: RNAcentral
AUUGAACGCUGGCGGCAGGCCUAACACAUGCAAGUCGAACGAGUGGCGGACGGGUGAGUAAUGUCUGGGAAACUGCCUGAUGGAGGGGGAUAACUACUGGAAACGGUAGCUAAUACCGCAUACCCUCGGAUGUGCCCAGAUGGGAUUAGCUCGUAGGUGGGGUAAAGGCUCACCUAGUCGACGCUCCCCAGCUGUUGUGAGCAGAUGACUAGCCACACUGGAAAUUAGGAACGGUCCAGACUCCUACGGGGAGGAGCAGUGGGGAAUAGUGCAAAAUGGGCGCAAGCCUGAUGCAUCCAUGCCGCGUGGAGGGAGAAGGCCGUCGGGUUGGAAAGUACUUUCAGCGGGGAGGCGUUUCCCGCAGGAUAAGCCCCCGCUAACUCCGUGCCAGCAGCCGCGGUAAUUC